GUUGGAGAACAGCUAUUGAGUCACAAGAAAGAAAGACUAGAACAUUAUCAAAGAGGGAUAAUGAAUGUUUAUUGUAAGCAACACACCAGAUUUAAAGCUCUUCUCGAGAGACACAAUCUAUGCUCCCCAAUCCUCCCCAGAAUGUGAACAGGGGAGUUAACCUGUUCCCAGGAGAUCUUGGAACUGUUCAUGCAGCCUUGAACUGAGAUUUCUAUGUUUUGGUGUACUCAGCAGGAAUGGUAUGUCACAAACACCUGGGAAGAGGAACUCCAUUCCAUGAAGUCAUGAAAGGUUCACUGCACCUUGUGACUGGUUCUCUGAUCUUCUUUGAGGCACCAGAAAAUGAUUCAAAGUCAAGUAAGGUCACCUCUUUAUUCAGCAAAGACAGUAGUAAUGAAAAGUUCUAAGGGAGUAAAUACUUCUGAGGGAGAGAUGAACAAAAAGAGAAAGAAGAGAGUGAGAGAGAAACAAAGAGGCAGCAUCUCUUUAGCAGAGUCAUUAUCCACUACUACUGAGCCUACAGUCUGGAUAAAGACAAAGUACUGUUGAAGUAAGGUUUUUCCUUUGCAUUACUGCUUCCAGGAGUGUGAACCUAAGGCUUGAAUUUUUGUAUUCUAUGGAUGAGACACUUCUUGCAUGUGUGUGGGAAAAUUGAGAAAAAGGACAAAAAAGGAUGAAUUCAGACUCAAUUCAUGGUUGCCAUUUUUAUGAUUAAAAUUCUCAGAAG
RNAcentral lists this long non-coding RNA (727 nucleotides) under Monodelphis domestica (gray short-tailed opossum). RNAcentral's name for it is "lncRNA (ENSMODG00000048022.1)". The record is from RNAcentral. Lineage: Eukaryota; Metazoa; Chordata; Mammalia; Didelphimorphia; Didelphidae.